UGGUGGACUAUAGAAGGAGGAAAACAGUCAUCCAGCCACUGGUCAUCGAUGGGGACUGUGUGGAGUGGGUCUCUGAAUUUCGUUUUCUGGGCGUGUAUUUGAGAGACAACCUGACUUGGAGCACAAAUGCUAUGGCUACCAUCAAGAAGGCACAGCAUAGACUCCUGAGGGUUCUCAGGAAUAACCAUCUGCCACAGAGACUGCUGGUGCCCUUCUAUCGCUGCUCCAUAGAGAGCAUUUUGACCUACUGUCUGUGUGUGUGGUUUUCCAGCUGCACAGUCACAGACAGGAAAGCUCUCCAGAGGGUCGUCACCACAGCCCAGAAGAUCACUGGUUGUCUCUUGCCUUCAUUAGAGGAACUGUAUACAAGCUGUUGUCUCAGGAAGGCAAGGACUAUAAUCAGAG
This is a long non-coding RNA of Thalassophryne amazonica, 405 nucleotides long. RefSeq lists it as uncharacterized. The transcript has 2 exons. The record is from RefSeq and is a predicted model, not a curated record. Lineage: Eukaryota; Metazoa; Chordata; Actinopteri; Batrachoidiformes; Batrachoididae.